This is a ribosomal RNA of Massilia sp. WF1, 1290 nucleotides long. It matches the Rfam family "Bacterial large subunit ribosomal RNA", at positions 1662 to 2925 of the family's 2925-position model. The record is from Rfam. NCBI's taxonomy places the organism in Bacteria, Pseudomonadati, Pseudomonadota, Betaproteobacteria, Burkholderiales, Oxalobacteraceae.
GGUGGGCGAGAUGAGUAUUCUUAAGGCGCUUGAAGAGAACAUCGGAGAAAGGAAACUCGGCAAAAUUGGUACCGUAACCUUCCGGGAUAAGGUACCGCCCCGGGUAGCUUGAUUGGUUUACUCCAGAGGGUGAAAGGGUGCAAAACUGCGUGCUGCGACUGUUUAAUAAAAACACAGCACUCUGCAACACGGAAAGGGACGUAUAGGAAUGUGAGCCUGCCCGGUGGCCUGGAAGAAUUAAAUGGAUGGGUGCAAGCUUCUUGAUUGAAGUCCCAGUAAACCGGCGGCCGUAACUAAUAACGGUCCUAAGGUAGCGAAAUUCCUUGUCGGUAAGUUCCGACCUGCACGGAAUGGCGUAACGAUGGCCACCACUGUCUUCCUCCGAGACUCAGCGAAGUUGGAGAAUGUUUGUGAUGAUGCAAAUCUUACCCGCUGGCUAGACGGAAAACCCAUGGAACCAUUACUGUAGCUUCUGCAUGGACUUUUUGAACAAUCUGUGUAGGAUAGGUGGGAGGGCUUGAAGCGGGGACGCCAGUUCUCGUGGAGCCAUCCUUGAAAUACCACCCUGGUUUGUUUGAGGUUCUAACCUUGGCCCGUUAUCCGGGUCGGGGACAGUGCAUGGUAGGCAGUUUGACUGGGGCGGUCUCCUCCUAAAGUGUAACGGAGGAGUUCGAAGGUACGCUAGGUACGGUCGGACAUCGUGCUAAUAGUGCAAUGGCAUAAGCGUGCUUAACUGCGAGACCGACAAGUCGAGCAGGUACGAAAGUAGGACAUAGUGAUCCGGUGGUUCUGUAUGGAAGGGCCAUCGCUCAACGGAUAAAAGGUACUCUGGGGAUAACAGGCUGAUUCCUCCCAAGAGUUCAUAUCGACGGGGGAGUUUGGCACCUCGAUGUCGGCUCAUCACAUCCUGGGGCUGUAGCCGGUCCCAAGGGUAUGGCUGUUCGCCAUUUAAAGUGGUACGUGAGCUGGGUUUAAAACGUCGUGAGACAGUUUGGUCCCUAUCUGCCGUGGGCGUUGGAAAUUUGAAGGGGGCUGCUCCUAGUACGAGAGGACCGGAGUGGACGAACCUCUGGUGUACCGGUUGUCACGCCAGUGGCAUUGCCGGGUAGCUAAGUUCGGAAGAGAUAACCGCUGAAAGCAUCUAAGCGGGAAACUCGCCUUGAGAUGAGAUUUCCCGGAGCCUUGAGCUCCUUGAAGGGUCGUUCGAGACCAGGACGUUGAUAGGUCGGGUGUGGAAGUGCAGUAAUGCAUUAAGCUAACCGAUACUAAUUGCCCGUACGGCUUGUCCCU